This 74-nucleotide transfer RNA is filed under the name Capsicum annuum. It matches the Rfam family "tRNA". From Rfam's summary of the family: Transfer RNA (tRNA) molecules are approximately 80 nucleotides in length. Their secondary structure includes four short double-helical elements and three loops (D, anti-codon, and T loops). Further hydrogen bonds mediate the characteristic L-shaped molecular structure. tRNAs have two regions of fundamental functional importance: the anti-codon, which is responsible for specific mRNA codon recognition, and the 3' end, to which the tRNAs corresponding amino acid is attached (by aminoacyl-tRNA synthetases). tRNAs cope with the degeneracy of the genetic code in two manners: having more than one tRNA (with a specific anti-codon) for a particular amino acid; and 'wobble' base-pairing, i.e. permitting non-standard base-pairing at the 3rd anti-codon position. Lineage: Eukaryota; Viridiplantae; Streptophyta; Magnoliopsida; Solanales; Solanaceae. The record is from Rfam by way of RNAcentral.
GCAUCUGUGGCUGAUUGGUUAAAGCACCCAACUCAUAAUUAGCGAAUUCACAGAUUCAAUUCCUUCUAGAUGCA